RNAcentral lists this ribosomal RNA (868 nucleotides) under uncultured bacterium. RNAcentral describes it as "bacterial SSU rRNA". It matches the Rfam family "Bacterial small subunit ribosomal RNA", at positions 52 to 911 of the family's 1533-position model. The record is from RNAcentral.
CACAUGCAAGUCGAGGGGAACGACAUCGAAAGCUUGCUUUUGAUGGGCGUCGACCGGCGCACGGGUGAGUAACGCGUAUCCAACCUGCCCAUCACUUGGGGAUAACCUUGCGAAAGUAAGACUAAUACCCAAUGAUAUCUCUAGAAGGCAUCUGAAAGAGAUUAAAGAUUUAUCGGUGAUGGAUGGGGAUGCGUCUGAUUAGCUUGUUGGCGGGGUAACGGCCCACCAAAGCAACGAUCAGUAGGGGUUCUGAGAGGAAGGUCCCCCACAUUGGAACUGAGACACGGUCCAAACUCCUACGGGAGGCAGCAGUGAGGAAUAUUGGUCAAUGGACGAGAGUCUGAACCAGCCAAGUAGCGUGCAGGAUGACGGCCCUAUGGGUUGUAAACUGCUUUUAUAAGGGAAUAAAGUGAGUCUCGUGAGACUUUUUGCAUGUACCUUAUGAAUAAGGACCGGCUAAUUCCGUGCCAGCAGCCGCGGUAAUACGGAAGGUCCGGGCGUUAUCCGGAUUUAUUGGGUUUAAAGGGAGCGUAGGCCGGAGAUUAAGCGUGUUGUGAAAUGUAGAUGCUCAACAUCUGCACUGCAGCGCGAACUGGUUUCCUUGAGUACGCACAAAGUGGGCGGAAUUCGUGGUGUAGCGGUGAAAUGCUUAGAUAUCACGAAGAACUCCGAUUGCGAAGGCAGCUCACUGGAGCGCAACUGACGCUGAAGCUCGAAAGUGCGGGUAUCGAACAGGAUUAGAUACCCUGGUAGUCCGCACGGUAAACGAUGGAUGCCCGCUGUUGGUCUGAAUAGGUCAGCGGCCAAGCGAAAGCAUUAAGCAUCCCACCUGGGGAGUACGCCGGCAACGGUGAAACUCAAAGGAAUU